UGGAAGAUGAAGGAGCAAUUCCUUGUCGAAGCUGAUCGCAGAAUGGUCACAGAGCUGGAUCGAAUGGCAACGAAGAUGGUUCAAAGAGCAUCUAUGUGUGACCUAAAGGACUGCUGCCAGAGGGCAAUCAAUGCCUGCCUGGAUGAUUCAGUAAGACAAGGACUCAUUAGGGAUGCAGCAAUUCUACUGCUGCCUUCCAUUUUCAGAGAGGACUCAUCCUUUCUAUACACUCUACUGGAGGAGCCAAGCGUGCCUACUCCAGCAAUCAUGCUCCAUACCACACACGAGUGGAACCCUUUGCAGGCACAAAGGAUAACCCUAUACCUGGAUGGUAUACAAGUUUUGACUGAGG
This is a long non-coding RNA of Nerophis lumbriciformis (worm pipefish), 352 nucleotides long. RefSeq lists it as uncharacterized. NCBI's taxonomy places the organism in Eukaryota, Metazoa, Chordata, Actinopteri, Syngnathiformes, Syngnathidae. The record is from RefSeq and is a predicted model, not a curated record.